This 473-nucleotide ribosomal RNA is filed under the name uncultured organism. RNAcentral describes it as "partial 16S ribosomal RNA". It matches the Rfam family "Bacterial small subunit ribosomal RNA", at positions 334 to 798 of the family's 1533-position model. The record is from RNAcentral.
CACUCCUACGGGAGGCAGCAGUGGGGAAUUUUGGACAAUGGGCGAAAGCCUGAUCCAGCAAUGCCGCGUGAGUGAAGAAGGCCUUCGGGUUGUAAAGCUCUUUUGUCAGGGAAGAAACGGUGAAAGCUAAUAUCUUUUGCUAAUGACGGUACCUGAAGAAUAAGCACCGGCUAACUACGUGCCAGCAGCCGCGGUAAUACGUAGGGUGCAAGCGUUAAUCGGAAUUACUGGGCGUAAAGCGUGCGCAGGCGGUUUUGUAAGUCUGAUGUGAAAUCCCCGGGCUCAACCUGGGAAUUGCAUUGGAGACUGCAAGGCUAGAAUCUGGCAGAGGGGGGUAGAAUUCCACGUGUAGCAGUGAAAUGCGUAGAUAUGUGGAGGAACACCGAUGGCGAAGGCAGCCCCCUGGGUCAAGAUUGACGCUCAUGCACGAAAGCGUGGGGAGCAAACAGGAUUAGAUACCCCGGUAGUCCCAU